This 257-nucleotide unclassified non-coding RNA is filed under the name Basidiomycota sp. RNAcentral describes it as "partial contains small subunit ribosomal RNA, internal transcribed spacer 1, and 5.8S ribosomal RNA". The stretch from base 1 to 47 matches the Rfam family "Eukaryotic small subunit ribosomal RNA", at positions 1785 to 1831 of the family's 1831-position model. Lineage: Eukaryota; Fungi; Basidiomycota. The record is from RNAcentral.
AAAGUCGUAACAAGGUUUCCGUAGGUGAACCUGCGGAAGGAUCAUUAACAAAUUCAACAACAAAACACUUGUGAACCUGUCCAUUAUCAGCACCCGUCUACCUACCAGCAUGCAUGCAUAGCAAUGAACGAACAACACGGGCAUUGUUGUGUGGCUAGCGGGGGGGAGGGGUGCUGAUAAUAAAUAGACUCUUAUCAUGACUGACAUACAAUCAAAAGUAAUUAAAACAACUUUUAACAAUGGAUCUCUUGGCUCUU